GUUCUUCUACGUCUGCCCGCCCAUCUGUUCCGACCCCAGAUUAGAGAAGGAGUUGUCACCGGUGGCAUGCUGGAGGCUUGAGCCUGCAGCAGCAUGGCUCGCCUCACUGUGGCUGGUGGCAGUGAGGUAGAGUACAGCACAGCCAAAGUGGUAGAAAGGUGGCAGAGUAGGCUUUUCUGGCUUUGCCCAUCCAGUUGCUCCGUGCCAGGAGAAGGAGUAGCCACCUGCACAUGCUGGAGGCUGGAGCCAGGGACACCACGGCUUGCCUCGCUGUGGUUGGCGUGGUGGCAGCGAUGGAGACUGCAGAGUGCCAGAGAGGACCUUGGUGCUUGUAGCAUCUACCUACCUCCUGUCGUUGUGAUGAGGACACUUUGAAAACGGGAUGGGAGCUACAUAUGCAAAAGAUGCCAUACAGAUGCUAUAUUAACCUGCAUUAUAGUCCCACAAAUUAAAAUGUAUUCCUUUGAUAAAAA
This 473-nucleotide long non-coding RNA is filed under the name Homo sapiens (human). RNAcentral's name for it is "non-protein coding lnc-C22orf42-2:1". The record is from RNAcentral. Lineage: Eukaryota; Metazoa; Chordata; Mammalia; Primates; Hominidae.